AAAAAGGAAACUUAAGGAUUAACUGUAGUAGUGUUUUCUUGAGUCUCUAUAUUUUAUCAAUAAUAAACAAGAUGCCUUUAAAUUACCAAAACGAAGUCAUUUUUUUGAAAAGUUUUUGGACACAUGUAUUUCAACUGCGUUGAAAUAUUGGAAACCAAUUAUUAAAUUCAAUAUGGAGGUCUUUUUGACGCAAAAAUAUUAAAUUAGUACAAUACAGUUAAAUAUUGUCAAAAAAAAAAUACUGUAAUUCAUUCAGUUUUAGCAAAUCAAUAAUAAAUAGGUAUGUACAAUGAAAUCAAACAUGAGUCUUGUGUUAUUUGCAGCGUAUUUUUUCGGACUUACUAUUUCCGGCAAUAGUGAACCUGACGAUUAUUUGCCCGUAUCUGUACUAAAUCUUCGUAACCGUUUACAUAGUUUUAAUUUUGUUAAAUUUUUAACGGAAGAGCAAUUAGCAGACAAAGAAUUUUUAGUUUCGUUGGACAAAGAGUAUAUUGCAGUAUCUCUAGAAGCAAGAAGGUUAUUUCGAGAUCACAAAUAUAACGAAGGACGUGAUUUGUUAUUCUAUUCAAUAAAAGAGAGAACUAUCGAUAACCCAGCAAUAAACACACAAAAGGUGGUACAGGAUUAUUUUGGUGGAAAUCUGGACAACGUUGUAAAUCAAUUAAAGGACCUCGUCCAAAUGUUCCUAUGGGAAGUGCAAUUUGCUGAACCAUCAACAUCAGCAGCAGCAUGAGAUGAUGAUGGAAUGUUGAAUCAUAAAUUCAAAAUUUAUCUUUUAAUAAAACAAGAAAAUUGUUGAUUUGUAAACUAUAUAAUUGUAUUUCAUUUGGUAGAAUUUCUCAUAUUUUACAAAUAAACUAUACAUUUUAAA
This is an RNA transcript of Adelges cooleyi (spruce gall adelgid), 871 nucleotides long. RefSeq lists it as uncharacterized. Lineage: Eukaryota; Metazoa; Arthropoda; Insecta; Hemiptera; Adelgidae. The record is from RefSeq and is a predicted model, not a curated record. The transcript is spliced from 5 exons.